Long non-coding RNA from Monodelphis domestica (gray short-tailed opossum), 792 nucleotides. RefSeq lists it as uncharacterized. The record is from RefSeq and is a predicted model, not a curated record. Lineage: Eukaryota; Metazoa; Chordata; Mammalia; Didelphimorphia; Didelphidae.
GUACUUGCAGAUAAAAUUUUAAAAUCUAUGUGCAGAAUUUUACAUUUACCCCUAUUACAUGUCAUAAUUUCAGGAUAUAUAGGGCAUUUUGAAUCCUGUUUCUAUUAUUCAACUCAUUAGGUAUUCCUCAAAAGGAUUCUGUCUAUGCAAGAUUGAUAGUAUCACCUUUUAUAUCUUCAUCAACAUUCUACAUAAAAUAUUUGGACAGAGCCAGACACAAAGCCCUCAGACACCACACAAGACAUUACCUUUCAGAUAUUAAUAGCAGUGGCAAUAUGACCUUACAAGUUCUUUCAGCGCCCUGAAAUUUAGCUUAAUUUGUCUAUUAUGAAGCACAAGUUUCAGAACGGGGUACUACUUUCUUGCCAAGAACCAGUCCUAAGUUCUUCAGUGGAGAAGACCAGUGGAUGAUCCUGUCCUUUUCUUCUCAGCCUUUGUCUUUUCAUCAGGAAUACUUUGAAGUAUUCUAUUUCAUUAAAGGCACAUCCCCCCUCCCCAUGAAGGACUGAACUCUCUUUUGCUGUAUGAAAACUCUAAAUUUUGGUUAUGAAAGGAUUGGUACUAGAGAAAUCUGAGAAGACUAUGAAUUGAAAGGAUGAAGUGAGUAGAAUGAGAACACUUUACAACAUAAAAACAAAAUUGUAAAAAUGAAAACCUUUGAAAGACUUAAGACCUCUGAUCAAAGCAAUAAUCAACCAAGACUGCAGAGAACCAUUAAUGUAGAAUGUUACCAUCCUUCUUACAGAUAAGUGAUGACUAAAUAAAAAGAAUGAGACAUAUUUUGAACUUGGG